UGGGCAACCAUGAGUACAGUGGCGUACGGGUGAGUAACACGUGGAUAAUCUACCUUCUAGUGGGGAAUAACCCUGGGAAACCGGGGCUAAUACCGCAUAAGCUCGAGAGAGGAAAGCAGCAAUGCGCUGGAAGAGGAGUCCGCGGCCGAUUAGCUAGUUGGCAGGGUAAAAGCCUACCAAGGCAAAGAUCGGUAGCCGGCCUGAGAGGGCACACGGCCACACUGGCACUGAAACACGGGCCAGACUCCUACGGGAGGCAGCAGUGGGGAAUCUUGCACAAUGGGGGAAACCCUGAUGCAGCGACGCCGCGUGAGCGAUGAAGCCCUUCGGGGUGUAAAGCUCUUUCGGCAGGGAAGAUGAUGACGGUACCUGCAGAAGCAGCUGCGGCUAACUACGUGCCAGCAGCCGCGGUAAUACGUAGGCAGCGAGCGUUGUUCGGAGUUACUGGGCGUAAAGGGUGUGUAGGCGGUUGUUUAAGUUUGGUGUGAAAUCUCCCGGCUCAACUGGGAGGGUGCGCCGAAUACUGAAUGACUCGAGUGCGGGAGAGGAGAGUGGAAUUCCUGGUGUAGCGGUGAAAUGCGUAGAUAUCAGGAGGAACACCGGUGGUGUAGACGGCUCUCUGGACCGUAACUGACGCUGAGACACGAAAGCGUGGGUAGCAAACAGGAUUAGAUACCCUGGUAGUCCACGCCCUAAACGAUGCAUAUUUGGUGUGGGCAGUUCAUUCUGUCCGUGCCGGAGCUAACGCGUUAAAUAUGCCGCCUGGGGAGUACAGUCGCAAGGCUGAAACUC
This 792-nucleotide ribosomal RNA is filed under the name uncultured Bacillota bacterium. RNAcentral's name for it is "bacterial SSU rRNA". It matches the Rfam family "Bacterial small subunit ribosomal RNA", at positions 76 to 902 of the family's 1533-position model. The record is from RNAcentral. Lineage: Bacteria; Bacillati; Bacillota.